Molecule: long non-coding RNA, 4810 nt
Filed under: Lynx pardinus (Iberian lynx)
Lineage: Eukaryota; Metazoa; Chordata; Mammalia; Carnivora; Felidae
Source: RNAcentral
AACAAUAAGAAAAAGAAAAAUUGAAGCAUGAGAGAUGAGCACUGCUGUCAAGUCCCCACAGCUGCCACCGAAACGCGUGUGCUGCAUUCCAUCAUCCCUUGCAUUCAAAAUGCUACUGAUGCAUAGCACCUAAUCAAGUCCCCAGGCUGCAGUUCCACUCCUGAGGAAGCUACGUCACCUCCAUCGCUACUGUGUUGUCUGCUAUGUUGUUUAGUGCUGGCUUUUCUGAUUCAUGAUUUUCUCUGUUGAAAUAAAGUUUAAUUAAAUUACUUAUCUGCAACAAAUUUAACAAAUCAAGACUAUCUCCCCAGUAAAAAAAUUAUGAAGUAUUUUUAGUAAUAGGAAGAAAUGUGACACUUUUGGGAUAAGACACAAGUAGAGGAGUAUGAACCUUUAUAGUUUAUUAUCAGGAAUAUACAACCAAAAGUCAGGCUUCUUCUGUCCACCAUAAAUUCCAUGGUCAACUAUAUCACCAAUAAAAUCGUAGUGGCAGCCAAGCAACCCAGAUGUUAGAAAACAUAAAGAAUUCCUAACUUUUAGUCUCUAAUUUCACUUUCCUCCUCUUUCAAAAAAGGAACAAAUGUGAACAAAAGUCAUUCAAGUCAGGACUUUUGUCAGUGUUCUGUAUGUGCAGUUGAGUAGCAGAGCUACUGAGCUGGUAAUGAGAAGACCAGGGUCACCGUUGUUCUAACACCUGAAUGUGCUUGUAGUAAUCAGCUUCUCUGGAUCUCAUUUCCCUCAUUUUUAAAAUGAAGGGACUAAAAUAAGUGAUAUGAAAGUUUACCAUACACUGCCAGUGUUUCAUGGUUAUAUAAUUCUGUAACAGUGAAAACCAUGUAUUAUAUAUUUAGGUAAGAACUCUAAUUGAUUGAUUAGUUAUGACUAGACCCAGAAUAAUAAUAAGAAUGGAUCUGAAUGGAGCAGACAAUAACUAUUACUUAAAUUGAGAAGCAGACAGGGAUGCAUGGGUUUGGAAACUUAAGGCUAUAUAGUCUGUUGCUACAAAGCCUGCUCUUCCCUCUUGGGCCACGCUUGGCCGAGGAAGUCUACCUAUCAGUCUAGCAUCCAAGGUGUUCUAAAGUGUGCCCACCUCCUACCGCUUCAACUUGAACUACUAACCUUCCCAAACCUCUAGACAAAUUAGUUUAGUUGUUAGCUUCUGAACACAUUUGUAUUUCUCCAACUCUCUCAUCCUCUUCUCUGCCCAGCUAAGAACAAAUCUGAUCUUAUUUUGUAGAACUCUCCCAGAAUACCCCUGGUGUGAAAAGAUCACUCCUUAUAUUGAAAUUAUAGUCAUAAUUUACACAAUUAAUCUGACAAGGCUAUAAUGCUUUGUGAUACAAGAAUGACUUCCACCUAUUACUCACAAUUAACAGCAUUUAAUUUUUACACUUUUAUGCUUGUCUUUUAACUAAACUGAAAACCCCUGGUCUUUCUCGUUUCCCCCAGAGUACUUUGUAAAUGGUAAGAUUCUAAUUACCAUUAAUAUUUAAAACAGAAAAGAACCUGAACAAACAUUCUAAACAAUCUACUGAAACUCAAGAUGACAAAUUAGCAUAAAAAAUAAUGGUUUGAAUAAAAGUUGACCUGGCAUUAAUACUGUAAGCCUUUACAUUAUUUACAUUAUUAACAGCAGCUUAGCAUACAAGCCACAGUGGGUUCUAUUAAUUCUUUACACAAGAAGCUGCGGAAGAAAACAAAAGAAACAUUCUAAAGAGAACUCCCUCCAUGCAAAGGUAGAAAAACAAGAACAUUAUAAGCUAUUAUUAUACUAAGGAAGUGACAUCCAAAGCAUAUAUGCAAUACUCAGUAUACCAUUUAGUUCAAAUUGUUAACAGUACUGAAUUAUAAAAAUCAUCUGUUUAAGUCUUGACUAAAUAAGGAAUUCUCAUCUAUACUUUUUUUUAAGUUUAUUUUGAGAGAGAGAGGGAGAGAGAGAGAGAGCGCGCGUAUGUGUGUGUGUGCGUGCUGGGGAGGGGCAGAGAAUCCCAAGCAGGCUCCGUACUGUCAGUGCAGAGCCUUAUGUGGGGCUGGAUCCCACGACCUCAAGAUCAUGACCUGAGCCACUAUCAAGAGUUUAGACGCUAAACCGACUGAGAGACCCAGAUGCCCCUAUACAUUUUUAAUGUAUAUAAGGAAAGAGCAAAAAACACCAAUAAGUAGAGAGCACUGCUAGAGGAUUUAAGUUAGGGCUCAUAUUUUUCAAACAUUUUAGGCUUAAAAUAACUACUGACCUUGGAACUGAAUCUACAGAAGAUGAAGAUGGAACCUUGGAAACUUGACAGUUUGCUGCGGCAGCCAGCUUUAAGGCAGACGAUGGAACAGCACUUAAAGUCCUAGGUAUAUGUCGUGCAUUUAUGGGGGCAAUAGAGUUUACAGUGGCAACUGAUGAAGGUACAGUUAAUCGAAUGUUGUUCCCAAUCAGAACCUGAGUUGUUGCAGAAUUGGCAGCGGUUACUUGAUGACUCAGUGCACUGUGGGAACUUGAAGUCUGUGUCAUGUUUGAAGGCUGUAACAAAGUUGAACCUGCCGUUGAUGGACUCGUAUGUACAAGUGCUGUUGGUGUAGUACUACUGAGGUGUAAGCCCUUGUAUACUCCUAGAGAAAAAGAAAGAAGCAUCUAAACAAUGUACGACUUUGCUGUUUAUUAGAGAUAUAGGUUACAAAUAUCAGAACAAUUUAAAUGUCUUUAUCCUUACCUGAGGCUGGAAGGACGCCAUUCACCCCAAUUCCAAGCACCACAUCAUCCUUCAUCUUGAAUCCCAUCAGUUGUUCUGAUGUCACCAAAGCAGAAGCAGCAAAUUGAGCACUAGCAGAAUCCAAAGUCUUGGAAACAAAACCCUAAAAAGAAAAUACAAAACAAAUCUAAUCAGCAUCACUUAGUCUCAAAUCAACAUUAAAGUUACACAGGUAUACCAAAAUCAGUUUGAAUAUAAACCAAAGUGGCAAACCACUGAAAUAUCUUCAUCUCUUUUGACAGUCAUAAAUUUGAAGAGUGUUCAAACAAUAUAAGAACGCAGGGAUUAUGAAUUUUGAUCUUCACAUGUGACAGUAUGUAAUAUGGACAAAUCAACCACAAAAAUAAACCUUCUAGAAUGUGGAAACAGUAAACCUCCAACACAAAGUGUCAGACAAGAAAUAUGCUAGUAAAACAUUUCAGUGAUUUGCAAAUACAUAUAAUGAAAAAUGAGUAUGUAAGCUUCUUUUACCUAACUUACAUACACACACACACACACACCCACCCACCCACCCACCCCAAAGGUAUCUUUGGGACAGGAGGAUAACUAUCCUUUUAGAACAGAAGUAACAAAACAUCACAUCAUAACUUGGCCUAGAAAUUAAGAGGCCCUUUGAAUUUUUUUAAAUGAAUUUUCCUCCAAGAUGCUUAGAUUCAAAUUUCAGCCUUCAAGCUUUAAAUGUGUUUCAAUGGCAAACAUUUAUCAUCCUUGAGGUUUAAAAGUGAUUUCAUUUAAUAGUAAAAGAGGUUUAGUAUGUAAUUUAAGAUACAUUUUAAUAAUAAUUAAAAUAACUAAGAAAAUGAGCUGGGUGAGAUCAUAUACUAACAAGGAAAAUUCACAGACUAUAGGACAGACUUGGAAGACAGUGUCUUGAUCGCAUUUAACUAUGUUUUUUAGCUUUACUUUUUAAAAUAGGGAGCAGAGGCAACAGCUUCCAUACUCACCUGUAAUGUUCUUUCUAAACCCUGUAUAGAAUGGCUAUGAUGUAGAUUCAGGCGAAAGCCACUUUUCUGCUGGUUAGAUGCAAGGUUCUAUGACAACAGUUGGUAAUUAGAGAUGAACUCUGGUGGGAAACAAUGAGGGAUAAUCAUAAGACAGACAAAUCCCUCACCUGUGAAGUGGUGGUGGAGGAAUUACUAUUUGCUUGCUGUUGCUGAAUUUGUGCAAGCUGCUGUUUCUGCAUUAGUGCCAGUUGCUGUUGAUGUUGCUGGUAUUGUUCGGCUGUAAAUGCUGAACAUAAAACGAGGAAAUACUUUAUAAAAACACACAGAUACCACACAUAUAUUACAAUACUAAAACAAAUUUCAGCAUUAAGAAAAUUUUUGUGUAAAAUUAAAGCAUUUGACAAAGGCUGAUGAUCCUGCUAAAGAUCACUUCCAUAUGAAAAAUUCAGCAUUUUUACAACCACAUUUAUCAGGAGUGGCUGGAGUUUAAAGAAAAACAAAAUUAUAAACUUCCUGAGUUAUAACAACAUAGGAAAGAGAAAUGCUCACUUCUCAAGUUUCAGAACCAUUAUUUUUAUAAGCUGUGACACUUGUGCUAGACAGUGUAAAAAGGUAAUCCAGCUUUUUAAAUCUACAUAUUUAGAAUUCAACUUGGCAUGGAGCUUGAGAAGAAAUCUGGUAAUUACCAUUUGGUUUCUAGUUUACUCAUAUCACUGUCCCAAUGCAUUCAGAUGAUCCCUAAUAGUUCUGUGUAUAAAUACUAAUUGUUCUACAUAUUUUCUAAUUUUAGCCAUUACAAACAUUCCCUCUAUAUGGAAUAUAAGGUUGUUGGUUUAUUACCUUUUUUUAUUUUAUUUUUUAAAGAACUCAUCCUUUAGCAGGAAGACAAGAGGCUCCAAAUGUUAAGGUUAAUUAAUUUUCCCCACCCAAUUAACCCACCUGGAAAAAAUCCAGUCAAUAAGAACGGAGUUGUUUAUGUUGAUUUACUGUACAGAAUGAUGUCUGAGGAAAGACACUGUGUUAUGCUACUUAUGUUUGUCUAUGGAGAGCUCAGUUCUAAAAAAAACAAACAAAAAAAUGUUCAUUUAUUACCCCCCAAAAAAGUGUGUGCAGUUUUUAAAAAGGAAA